GGGACUAGUAGACCUGACACCGUUCAGUAAUCGGUGUGCAUUCAAAGCAAUGAUUAGUGACAUUACGAAACCGACAAUCGACAAUGCGUGCAUCAUUCAAGUAGAGCUUUCAUCGUAUUCAGAAAUGCAAAUAAAUGUACACGGAAAAGAUUGGACAAUGAUUAACGUAUGAAAAUAGAUUUAUUUGAUGUUAAUUACACAUGAUAAAUCAAAAAUUGAGAAUCUGUUCAAAAGUUUCGUCGCGGACUCGAGUGUUCAUGAUUGUUACCCUGACCGGAAAGAAACUGAAAGUACGAAGUUUAUUUAUUAGGUGUUUCGGUUCCAGAUCUUUUAAGGCCUAGCCACUGACCAGACACGACACAGCCAGUUCCAGCGACAAUGCAGACGACAACACCUGCACCACGGUUGAGAUUUACCAAAUUCGUCCAACAGCAUUACGGCAACCUUCUUAAUAUCGACAACAUCAUCUCUCUUCGUACACAGCUCAACCAGCAACUAGCCCAGGUCCCAACACUUCACUGUUCGUGAAUUACUGCACCAUGGAUCAACAGCAAGAACUCUUGUAUCAAGUGACCCACACAACCACGACUUCGCGUACGACAUGUACCUACAACCGGCUCAGCAUCAUGGCCGCGACUUCUUCAUGCAGUAUUUUAACUACCGUGUACAAUUGACUACUUGUAUUCUCAUUCUUGUGUCUAUGAACUUCUCACUUUGAUAGCUAUAGGCUCCUUCGCUGUCAUCUUCUUGACUGCCAUACUUAUAUUUCUUAACACCCACGCAUACAUAUAGGCUUACACGCACAAACACAUUUUGUUCUCAUGACGGCCUAUCUAUUAUUCUGUAUACAUGAAGCACACACAGACACACGUUUACAUAUCAAUAAAUCUUCCCUUAACCAAAAAAAAACAAACAAAAUUAUUCAGUUUAUUUCAAGGUUUCUUGCCAGUAGACAAAGAAUCAGUUUCUAACCUAGAUCCAAGGGUUCUUGUAUGUAUGUAUGUAUGUAUGUAUGUAUGUAUGUAUGUGCGACUGUGUGCGUGUGUUCAUUUUAUUUUUCACAUUUUAAAAUAUGUUUCAAAUGGUAAAAUAUUUCAUAUUAAGAUAGAUAUUGCUGGCAAAUAGGGAAUAUUUUCGGAUAAAUAAUGAAAAUAAAAAAAACUAAAUAUAUUUGAAUGUUAUUGCAUAAUUAAAUGUUUAUUAAACCUUCACUUAAUUAAACAUCUAAAAUAUAUAACAUUAAUUUAAUAUUGGAAUAACUGCAUAAAAUUCACAAUUUUGCGAACGUCAAUAUUCAUACAAUAAAGUUUAGAAAAAUAUAAGAAUAUGGUUGGUAAAUUGAAUAUGAUGUACUGUCACGUGAAUAUAUUUAUAAAGGUAAUUUCUGAUGAGAGUAAAUUAAAAUUUUUGUAUUAUUAUCAAUGAUGACAUUUUCAAUUAGCUUGAUGCAAGAUAUUAAUUUGAAAAUUUGUCAAAUGUUCAGCAAAUUGUUGAAUCAUGCUUAUUAUGAUAAAAUUAGUAAAGUUUUUCUUUAAAUUAUUUUUAAAUAAUGUAAUUAGUAGCUUUUAACCUAUGAAGAUGCACAAUAAAUAUACUUGAUAAUGAAUUUGAAGCAAUCUAUUUCCUUCAAAGAGAAUAAAAAAUGAGGGUUAAGCUGCUCAAACUGUUAAUUGACUUACUAAACGCUUUUUGGUGCUUAGUAAUUUUAAUUACACUCUACAUUUUGUGUUUAAACUUUUUGCAGAACAAACGUUGUCAUUUAUCAGUUUAGAGUCGAUAAAAAUAGUAACUGCUAUGUUCCCUUGUUGCUUCUAAUAACUAUAUUUAUGUCUAGGCCUUUGAAGAAUGGAACCUGCAUAAGAAUUCACAUUUGUUGAAACGAAAAUGUCGGUAAAGUAAAAAGAAUGGAAGCGCAUUCUGCGCAUUCUGAGAAAUAUUUUUGAGUAUCUAGUCUCGUUCUGUGUUCAAAUAAUUGUAAAACUCAAAUAGAUAUAUUUCCACGAAAUACACUUAGACCAUUACUCAUUGCUGUUCAUUAAGAAUUCUGGCGUGCAAACUAAAAAGAGAAUGCCUCUAUGAGAUCGAUCGUACUGCAAAGAAUAACAGUCAAAUUUUAUUUUCAUCAUGCUCUAUUGUCUUUUAGAAAUCAACAUUGCAUAAUACAACAAAGAUAAACAAAAAGACAGGAUCACCAUAGCUGGAAUGAGUUUGAUCAUAAGUUUGCCCAAUCAAAGCACUCUAAAUUGUAAACAGCAUCAACAAUAGGAAACGCUGCGGCACUAUGUCUUUCUUUACGUUCUGAAUUCAAAUUUCGCUGAGGUCUACCUUACAUUUCGGAAUGGAUGAAAUAAGUACCACUUGAGCAUGGCAAUGGAUACAAUCGACCGUCCCUUCCCCACAAAUUUUAGUCCUCUUGCCUGUGUAGAAAGGAUUAUUCUUGUGCGUUAUUUGUCAUAUAUUCGUAACUAUGAUAAAUAUCGGUUUCAAAUUUUGGCACUAGGCCAGUAUUUCAGGGAGUGGAAGUAAGUCGGUUACAUCUACCCCAGUGGGCAACUGGUACUUUAUCGACUCCGAAAGGUUGAAAGGCAAAGUCGACUUCAGCAGAAUUUGAAGGCAGAACGUAAAGACGGACGAAAUGCCGUUAAGCAUUUUGUUAGGCGCUGUAAAGAUUGUUUCAGCUCACCGUCUUAACUAUAAUAAAUAUUAGGAUGAACAAUUUAAGAAAGUACAGGAUUAUAGCAAGAAUAUUUGUAUGUAAUCGAAAUAAAUGUAUUUAAAGGUUAUCUAAGGAGCUUAUAAAGACAUAUAAUAUAGGGAUUAUAAUAGCAGAGUAUCUCCAUAUCUAAAUAUAUUUAAUCAUAAUAACAGUGUAUCUAGACUAUAUAUCUAAAUAAAUAAGGAAGUGAAUAUUUAUUAUAGAAUAAAAGAAAGAAAUCAAACAAAACUACUGACACAACAGAGUGAUACUCAUAGGGAAACCAAAUCUUAACAUGAAAUUAAUAAGUGUUAGUAGAAUGCCUGAAUCGGAAUGCUAAAAAGAAAAUCUAUGAGCAAACUACAGAGGUAUGUAUCGGCUAAACUUA
Long non-coding RNA from Octopus bimaculoides (California two-spot octopus), 3083 nucleotides. RefSeq lists it as uncharacterized. NCBI's taxonomy places the organism in Eukaryota, Metazoa, Mollusca, Cephalopoda, Octopoda, Octopodidae. The record is from RefSeq and is a predicted model, not a curated record.